Molecule: ribosomal RNA, 200 nt
Filed under: uncultured bacterium
Lineage: Bacteria
Description: partial 16S ribosomal RNA
Rfam family: Bacterial small subunit ribosomal RNA
Source: RNAcentral
AGAGUUUGAUCAUGGCUCAGAUUGAACGCUGGCGGCACGCCUAACACAUGCAAGUCGAGCGGUAACAUGGGUAGUAGUAAUACUAUUUGAUGACGAGCGGCGGACGGGUGAGUAACACGUAGGAACUUGCCCAGAAGAGGGGGAUAACCAAGGGAAACUUUGGCUAAAACCGCAUAAUACUCGAGAGAGGAAAGCUUCUG